AUUGAACGCUGGCGGUAUGCUUAACAUAUGCAAGUCGAACGGCAGCACGGUAUGUAGCAAUACAUAUGGGUGGCAAGUGGCGGACGGGUGAGUAACGCGUAGGAAUCUGCCCUCAAGCGGGGGACAACCCGAGGAAACUCGGGCUAAUACCGCAUAAACUCGGAAGAGAAAAGCUGGGGUAACCUGGCACUUGAGGAGGAGCCUGCGUCUGAUUAGCUAGUUGGUAGGGUAAAGGCCUACCAAGGCGAUGAUCAGUAGCUGGUCUGAGAGGAUGACAGCCACACUGGAACUGAGACACGGUCCAGACUCCUACGGGAGGCAGCAGUGGGGAAUAUUGGACAAUGGGGGAAACCCUGAUCCAGCAAUACCGCGUGUGUGAAGAAGGCCUUCGGGUUGUAGAGCACUUUAGUUGGGGAGGAAGGUUAACAGUUUAAGAGAUGGCUAAUUUGACUGUACCCAAAGAAUAAGCACCGGCUAACUCUGUGCCAGCCGCCGCUGUAA
Molecule: ribosomal RNA, 501 nt
Filed under: uncultured bacterium
Lineage: Bacteria
Description: partial 16S ribosomal RNA
Rfam family: Bacterial small subunit ribosomal RNA
Source: RNAcentral